AGUGAACGCUGGCGGCAGGCCUAACACAUGCAAGUCGAACGGUAGCACAGAGGAGCUUGCUCCUUGGGUGACGAGUGGCGGACGGGUGAGGAAUACAUCGGGAUCUACCUUUCGUGGGGGAUAACGUAGGGAAACUUACGCUAAUACCGCAUACGCCCUACGGGGGAAAGCGGCGGACCGCAAGGCGUCGCGCGAUGAGAUGAACCGAUGUCCGAUUAGCUAGUUGGCGGGGUAAAGGCCCACCAAGGCGACGAUCAGUAGCUGGUCUGAGAGGACGAUCAGCCACACUGGGACUGAGACACGGCCCAGACUCCUACGGGAGGCAGCAGUGGGGAAUUUUGGACAAUGGGGGCAACCCUGAUCCAGCAAUGCCGCGUGAGUGAAGAAGGCCUUCGGGUUGUAAAGCUCUUUUGUCAGGGAAGAAACAGCAGCUCUAACACAGUCUGCGAAUGACGGUACCUGAAGAAUAAGCACCGGCUAACUACGUG
Molecule: ribosomal RNA, 488 nt
Filed under: uncultured bacterium
Lineage: Bacteria
Description: bacterial SSU rRNA
Rfam family: Bacterial small subunit ribosomal RNA
Source: RNAcentral